This 72-nucleotide transfer RNA is filed under the name Camelus bactrianus (Bactrian camel). It matches the Rfam family "tRNA". Rfam says of the family: Transfer RNA (tRNA) molecules are approximately 80 nucleotides in length. Their secondary structure includes four short double-helical elements and three loops (D, anti-codon, and T loops). The record is from Rfam by way of RNAcentral. Lineage: Eukaryota; Metazoa; Chordata; Mammalia; Artiodactyla; Camelidae. RNAcentral also lists the same sequence under 2 other names.
GAGGUUAUAGCUUAAUGGUAGAGUGCCUGCCUAGUAUGCGUGAGCUCUUGAGUUCAAUCCCCAGUACCUUCA